CUCUAAAUAAUUUUUAGUAAUUUUAAUUUUUCCCUAAUCCCUAAUCAGUAGGCUUUGGCCUCUACUGAAAAGGUCUGGUUAGGUCGAACCAUUAACAUGACCAUACUUGGCCCAUCUAGCCAAUGAAUGAUUAGGCCCAACUUUGGUUGGCUAACCUAACCACCAUUUAGAAAGAUGUAGUCAAGAAAUCAUAUUAUGAAUGAUAAUUCCAUC
Molecule: long non-coding RNA, 213 nt
Filed under: Elaeis guineensis (African oil palm)
Lineage: Eukaryota; Viridiplantae; Streptophyta; Magnoliopsida; Arecales; Arecaceae
Description: long non-coding RNA (EGUI_LNC051936)
Source: RNAcentral